This 758-nucleotide ribosomal RNA is filed under the name uncultured Chloroflexota bacterium. Its description in RNAcentral is "bacterial SSU rRNA". It matches the Rfam family "Bacterial small subunit ribosomal RNA", at positions 562 to 1331 of the family's 1533-position model. Lineage: Bacteria; Bacillati; Chloroflexota. The record is from RNAcentral.
AAAGCGCGUGCAGGCGGUUCGGUAAGUUGGGCGUGAAAUCUCCUGGCUUAACUAGGAGAGGUCGUUCAAUACUACCGGACUUGAGAGUGAUAGAGGAAGAUGGAAUUCCCGGUGUAGUGGUGAAAUGCGUAGAUAUCGGGAGGAACACCAGUGGCGAAAGCGAUCUUCUGGAUCAUUUCUGACGCUCAGACGCGAAAGCUAGGGUAGUAAACGGGAUUAGAGACCCCGGUAAUCCUAGCCGUAAACGAUGUAAACUUGGCGUCGGUGGCUUUAACUCCAUCGGUGCCGCAGCUAACGCGAUAAGUUUACCGCCUGGGGACUACGAUCGCAAGAUUAGAACUCGAAGGAAUUGACGGGGGCCCGCACAAGACAGCGGAGCGUGUGGUGUAAUUCGAUGCUACACGAAGAACCUUACCCGGGUUUGACAGGCAAGUGGUAGUGAUCCGAAAGGUGAACGACCCGCAAGGGAGCUUGCACAGGUGUUGCAUGGCGGUCGUCAGCUCGUGUCGUGAGAUGUUCGGUUAAGUCCGCUAACGAGCGCAACCCUCGCUGUAUGUUACAUGUGUCAUACAGGACCGCCGGUAUCAAGCCGGAGGAAGGUGGGGAUGACGUCAAGUCCGCAUGGCCUUUAUGUCCGGGGCUACACACACGCUACAAUGGGCAGUACAAUGGGUUGCUAAGCCGCGAGGUGGAGCCAAUCCCCCAAAGCUGUCCUCAGUUCAGAUUGCAGGCUGCAACUCGCCUGCAUGAAGCUGGAG